This 271-nucleotide ribosomal RNA is filed under the name uncultured prokaryote. Its description in RNAcentral is "partial 16S ribosomal RNA". It matches the Rfam family "Bacterial small subunit ribosomal RNA", at positions 524 to 794 of the family's 1533-position model. The record is from RNAcentral.
UACGGAGGAUCCGAGCGUUAUCCGGAUUUAUUGGGUUUAAAGGGUGCGCAGGCGGAAGAUUAAGUCGGUGGUGAAAUUUUGCAGCUCAACUGUAAAAGUGCCUUCGAAACUGGUUUCAUUGAGUGUAGAUGAAGUAGGCGGAAUUUGUGGUGUAGCGGUGAAAUGCAUAGAUAUCACGAGGAACUCCGGUUGCGCAGGCAGCUUACUAAACUACUACUGACGCUCAGGCACGAAGGCGUGGGGAUCAAACAGGAUUAGAUACCCGUGUAGU